AAUUCAAGUCCAAACCCGCUCGUUUCUCUUCAAAACCCUGUGUCUCAAAAUCUCUCGCUUUUCCUCCUCGAGUUAUUUACUUGUUUUAAACAAACAGAGAAAAAACAAAUAUGCACACAAACCUCUCCCACCCACACACACACAACAACAACCACUUCUCUCAUUUUGCUGGCUCUCUGCUUCCAUGUCUCUCUGGAAGUGAAAUUGUAAACCACCACCACCAUCAACACACACUCUAAUAAACAUAAACAUAAAAAUCCUAAAAAAAACUGCCAUGGAUACUCAUGAGAUAACUAACAUACUGUUAACGAAACUCAAGAGUUUAGAUCCAGAAAACGCCUCUAGAAUUAUGGGUUUUAUUCUCAUACAAGACCCUACUGAAAAAGAUUUGUUACGGUUAGCGUUUGGCCCUGAAACCCUCUUGCAAAAUGUAGUCUUCAAGGCAAAAAUCCACUUAGGACUCUCUACUAACACGUUAUCUACACCUUCUACACCCUCUUCUCCGUCACCACUCAAUCCCAUAGCAAGGCCUUGUAAUAACACCAACCCCUUUCCACAAUCUUCUCCUAGAAUCACAAAUAAUGGUUCUUUUCUUGACUUUUCAAAAAACCCGUCUCCAAAUCCUUGGUCCGUUCACGGGCUGCCAAAUAAUAGUGACAGUAAGAGUUCAAUUAGCCCAAAGAGCAGUCCUUUUUUGUCCUAUGAUAAUAUACGUUCUGGGUCUGUUUUGGUGCCGCCAUUCUCGAGAAAUGGUGGUAAUGGCGGUGGUGUUUGCAGCAAUAAUAGUGCCGAUUUCCUUGGCGAGUAUCAGUCAGAUGAUCAUCUGUCGUUCUUCGAUGACCCCUCUUCAAAAAACGAGGACUUUAUGGACCAAAGGGUUCAGAUGGGUGGUUAUUCAGUUGCUAAUGGAGAUGUCCAUUUGCAUAGAAGAAGGUUUUCAGAGAGUGAUGCGUGUUCUGGUGCUGAGGAUGGGGGUUUUGGUCUCCGGUAUAGGCAGUGCCUGUAUUUUGCUAGAGGGUUUUGCAAAAAUGGAGAAAGUUGCAAGUUUGGUCAUGGUGAUGAAAAUAUGGCUGAGGUUAAUGUUGGUGGUGCUCUUGUGAGUUCACCAAGGGAAAUGGAGGAACUUUAUUUGCAGCAGCAAGAGGAGAUGAUGAAAAGGAAGGCUGUACAGCAGCAGCAAGAGGAGAUGAUGAAAAUGAAGGCUGUACAGCAGCAGCAGCAGCAAAGGUUGGCUUAUAACAAGCACAUGAAUUUUCUGUUGCUGCAACAAAAUGAAGCCGAGAGAUUUGGCGCAGCAAUGAUGGGUGAUGAAUUUUACAAGUUUGGCCGGACCCGUGGUGGAAGGAAUGACUUUUUGGCAAUGGGAAUGGCUGAAAAGGCAAAUUCAGCAUCUAGACAGAUAUACUUGACAUUCCCAGCUGACAGCUCUUUCAAAGAUGAAGAUGUUUCAAAUUAUUUCAGUUCUUUUGGACCAGUUCAAGAUGUCAGGAUUCCAUACCAGCAGAAGCGAAUGUUUGGAUUUGUUACAUUUGUCUACCCAGAGACUGUGAAGGAAAUAUUGGCAAAGGGAAACCCUCAUUAUAUUUGUGAGUCGCGUGUGCUUGUCAAGCCAUACAAGGAGAAAGGAAAAGUUGCAAACAGGACGCAACAGUUACUGGAGAGGGGGGGUUUUUCACCUGCUUCAAGCCCUUCAGGGUUUGAUCCUAGAGAGCUAUGUGAUCUUCACCUUGGAGCAAGAAUGCUUUAUAAUACUCCAGAAAUGAUGCUGAGAAGGAAAUUGGAGGAGCAGGCAGAGUUGCAGCAAGCUAUUGAACUCCAGGGGAGAAGGUUAAUUAAUCUGCAACUUCCAGACUUGAGGGGAGAUCAUGCACAUCAUCACCAGCAUAGUCUCUCUGUUGGUGCUCCCAUUUCUCUGCCCACUCAUCAUACUCCCAUCAAUCAAACUGAUAUUCUAACCUCUGAUGGCAAGAAUGAGAUAACAUUAGAAGACAAUGGGAAUUGCUCAGGGGCCUCUAAAUCCACCCUUGUUCCUGUUGCUGCAGAGAAUCUUCAGGAUGAAGUGAAUGCAGCUUGCAUUCAGAACAAUGACACUGUUAAUUGCAAGGUGGAGAGCUUCACUGAAAGCCAUGGAAGCAAUUUCGAACGUGAUAGCCUCACAAAAUCUUCUGAGAAUCAGCAUCCGGACAUGUCCCCAUCUCGGGCCGAAGUUGAAGAAAGCAAUGAGUUAUCUGUCUCUUCGUGUUCUGAAAACGACGCAUCAGUACCCACCACAUCUACCAGCAACGAGGCUUCUAAUUGAGUUCUAAAUGCCAAGCUAAUGUUUUGUAGGUAAUAAAGUUUAGUGUGGCCAAAGAGAUUAACUUAACUAGGAAAAAUAGAGAAGCACAUAGAAGGAAGAAAGAUCCUGUUGAUGUAUAGCCUAUAUGAUACCUGCGCUUGAUGGUAGAUCCGCAGAGAUUACCUCAGCUAGAUUACCAUCCUUGUCAUCAAUACGAUACUACUAACAGCAACUGCAUUUUACAUACGUGGUGGACGGACGAACUAGUUUGAGUAGGAUCUUCUCUUAGCUACUUCUUGCCCUGUUGUAGGUUGUGUGCUGGACCACAGACUGUAGCUGGACUUCAAAUAUCAUGGCUCUUGUUAUUAUGACAAUUACACGCUUACAAUCUCUUACCAUCGUUGUCUUAUAAUUGUUGAACACUAAGCAGCCUUUUAAACGGUGUUAAGAGGAUCAGAAUUCAA
Populus trichocarpa (black cottonwood) is the source of this 2742-nucleotide RNA transcript. It is a transcript of the gene named zinc finger CCCH domain-containing protein 55, with no coding region annotated. The record is from RefSeq and is a predicted model, not a curated record. Lineage: Eukaryota; Viridiplantae; Streptophyta; Magnoliopsida; Malpighiales; Salicaceae. The transcript is spliced from 9 exons.